This 390-nucleotide ribosomal RNA is filed under the name uncultured bacterium. RNAcentral's name for it is "bacterial SSU rRNA". It matches the Rfam family "Bacterial small subunit ribosomal RNA", at positions 28 to 417 of the family's 1533-position model. The record is from RNAcentral.
GACGAACGCUGGCGGCGUGCUUAACACAUGCAAGUCGAGCGGUAAGGCCCUUUCGGGGGGUACACGAGCGGCGAACGGGUGAGUAACACGUGGGUGACCUGCCCUCAGCUCUGGGAUAAGCCUGGGAAACUGGGUCUAAUACUGGAUAUGACUCCACGGUGCAUGUCGUGGGGUGGAAAGCCUUGUGCGGCUGAGGAUGGGCCCGCGGCCUAUCAGCUUGUUGGUGGGGNGAUGGCCUACCAAGGCGACGACGGGUAGCCGGCCUGAGAGGGCGACCGGCCACACUGGGACUGAGACACGGCCCAGACUCCUACGGGAGGCAGCAGUGGGGAAUCUUGCGCAAUGGGACGAAAGCCUGACGCAGCGACGCCGCGUGAGGGAUGACGGCCU